CCUACGGGUGGCAGCAGUGGGGAAUAUUGGGCAAUGGACGCAAGUCUGACCCAGCAACGCCGCGUGAAGGAAGAAGGCUUUCGGGUUGUAAACUUCUUUUAAGGGGGAAGAGCAGAAGACGGUACCCCUUGAAUAAGCCACGGCUAACUACGUGCCAGCAGCCGCGGUAAUACGUAGGUGGCAAGCGUUAUCCGGAUUUAUUGGGUUAAAAGGGUGCGCAGGCGGCCUGUUAAGUCAGCGGUAAAAGCCCGGGGCUCAACCCCGGCGAGCCGUUGAAACUGGCGGGCUGGAGUUGGAGAGAAGUACGCGGAAUGCGCGGUGUAGCGGUGAAAUGCUUAGAUAUCGCGCAGAACCCCGAUUGCGAAGGCAGCGUACCGGCUCCACACUGACGCUGAGGCACGAAAGCGUGGGUAUCGAACAGGAUUAGAUACCCGAGUAGUC
This 441-nucleotide ribosomal RNA is filed under the name uncultured bacterium. RNAcentral describes it as "partial 16S ribosomal RNA". It matches the Rfam family "Bacterial small subunit ribosomal RNA", at positions 338 to 795 of the family's 1533-position model. The record is from RNAcentral.